AUGUUGGUACGACCAGGAGAGCCCAUGCCUAGUUACUCAUUUCUAACAUGGUAUCAGAUGCUUAGGUUCCUCUCCCGCUCCCGCACGCUCGCAACUCCGUUCCUCGCUCCACCGUCGCCGGCCUCGCUCCCCCGUCGCCGGCCUCCCUCUACCUCGUCGCCGGCGCCGGCCACCUCCUCCCUCGCCCCGGCCCUCUCCUUCCCCGCCGCCACACCGCGGCCGGCCAUCCUACGCUCGCUCUUCCCCACCCCGCUUCCCCAUCGGGGCUGGAUCGAGCCAGCGCGAGCCCGAUCCCGAUCUGGAUCGGGGUCUACUGUAGCAGUUGACCCAAAAAACAGAGAGCUCCUCAUGUCUUCUUCGGGCUAUGUCGCCGUUCCUCGGUGCUCGGUGAUCUUCGAUGGCACCAACUAUACCGAGUUUGCGGGGUUUAUGCGUAUCCAUAUGCGCGGUCUCCUCCUGUGGGGUGUUCUCUCUGGCGAGGUCCCCUGUCCGCCUUGCCCUGUUGCUUCUGUGGCUCCUACCCCGCCAGCACCACCGGUUCUUGCUGCUGACGCUUCUCAGGCCGAUCGAGAUACCGCCAAGGCUCUCGAUGAUGCUGCAGUUGAUGCCUAUGAUCAGCAGAUGUCAGCUUACUCGGAUGCCCUUUCUGCCUAUCGUGAUGAUCUGUCUGCUUACACUCAGUGGUGCAAUGAUGAUGCUCGUGCUGCUGCUGUUCUUACUGCGAGUGUCCUCCCUCAGUUCGCCUCGGAGUUCAUGGGACUUGGCACAGUUGCAGUGAUGUGGUCUUAUCUCUGUCAGCGCUAUCAGCCCUCUGGUGAUGCUCUCUACCUAUCUGUGGUGCGUCAGAAGCAUGCACUCCAGCAAGGUGAUUCCUUUGUUGAUGAGUUCUAUUCACAGUGCUCUGCCAUCUGGCGUCAGCUUGACUCUCUUCGGACCGUUGUUUGUGGAACUUGCCGUUGCUGUCAGACUACAUGGUCCGAUUUGGAGUUUCAACGGGUUCAUGAGUUCUUAUCUCAUCUCCGCUCUGAGUUCGAGCCUCGCCGUGCUCACCUUCUUGCUUGUGGUCGUGUUCCUAUCUCUGAGCCGGCGGACCGGCCGAAGUUUCGGCCGGUCACGCGCGGAUCGUUGGAUGUUUUUAGCGAUCUAAGCGUCUGUUUAGCCACACACGGGGAACAAAUGCGAGGCUGUUGGGGCCCGUGCACCGCCCGCGACACGCGUGGCUUCUUUUUCUUAUCCCUUCGUUGCUCAUCUCCUUCCUUAUUCAGUCGCGUCUUCCUCCCCAUCCACUCGCAUCCCGGGCGCGCUCGUCGCCAUAGCUGCCGGCAACUCGAUGCUCCUCGUUUUGAAUCAUGCGCGGAUCACCGGCGCCGGAUUCACCCCUCUCCAUGGCCGCCGACAGCCAGGGGUGCGCUCGUCGCCUUGUUCGCCGGCAACUGGACGAACGCCCUCUCCAUGGUAACCAUAGCCAGGGCUUCGUUAGUUCACCAUGACCAAGCUGCAAUCGGCCAUGGCAGCGACGAGUCUGUGCUGGAGCCGGAGGCGGUGUCCCGAUUUGCUGGAACCAGCUGGUGGAUGUGCUGCAAGGUUGACACCUCGCCGGAGGAAGCUGCAUCCAGUGGGGAGGAGGGCUGCAUCCAACGUCGUUCAAACACCGGGAGUUGCAACCAUGUACGCCGGAGCUACAACCGGUACGAUGCAUGUCGAUGGAGGCCAACAGAGACGGCGACGCCUGCGGCGAGCUCGACGGCGAGGACGGAGGGGGUGGUGCACCAGAUGCUGCAACCACGGGGGCGGGGAGCUUCAACCGCUGCCGACGGAGGCUCCGUGUCAGCCAUGGCCAAGUUUGGCGAGGGAUCUGACCACGACGGAAGCUGCGAACGAGUGAGAUGGUUGGGAGGAGCAGUGACGCGCGUGCGAAGGAGGCAACCUACGGCGAGGGCAGCAACCGGUGGCGAGGGCGGUGACCGGCGUUGGGGGCGGCCAAGCCGGGUGGUGCUUCGAGUCGGGGGCCUCGCUCAUCCAUGGCGGCUAGAUGCGUACGCGGAGGAAGGAAGAAGAAGCUGGGGCGAUUUGUUUGUUUUUUUUUGUCCGGAUCCAACGAUCACACGGCUUAAAUCCAACGGCCUGGGCUAG
Molecule: ribosomal RNA, 2133 nt
Filed under: Triticum aestivum (bread wheat)
Lineage: Eukaryota; Viridiplantae; Streptophyta; Magnoliopsida; Poales; Poaceae
Description: partial small subunit ribosomal RNA
Source: RNAcentral